AUGAUAGGAAUAAGCCCAAACGCAGACAACGGAGAGGUUUGGUGAGUGUCUCCAGCAAACGGUGAUUUCUCCGCUACCAUCAGCCUCGGGGCAUCCGAAAACACGGUGCAGCCCCAUGUGGGUUUAGGCCAUCUCCGUGUGUGCAUCUUGCCAUUCCCCGCAUACAAUCAACCCCACACGAAGUAAUCCCGCCAAUGUCACCAUUCCUAUCCACACAUUGUCAAUUCACAGACACUCCAUCCUUCUCUUGUUUGAUCGAAGGAUCGUCAAUGGGCCCUUUCGGCAAUCUAACAAGUAGAGGCUAACAAAGCAGAGAUCAACUAUAACUCUAUAACUCUAACUAUAACUAUAACGCAUGCCUCUUCAUAGGAUAGGUGGGGCAGCGGAGAUAUGCCAUCUCCCCACCGCCAUGGCGGCCACCUGGCCGCUCCUCCCUUUCCCGUCAGCGUCAGAUGGUUGUUCUUUUCGCCACCGUCACUCUUCUAUCGUGUCCAGGGAUUUCGGGGGUCUUUAUUUAGCAUCUCAUUUUGAUUCUGAGCUCGUCUUCCUUCAAUUUGAGAGUGGCUCAAGACUUCGCGCGUCAAAUGUAAGAAAUGGAGCCAUCACCAAUACCCAGGAAUUUGCGAGCGCUGUAUGAAUAUGUUGUCACUUUCUUCCUUAACUGGUACUCAUAUACGUUGGCAUUGUCGAAGAUGGCCAUGGUUCCUAGAUGGUUCUGUCAGUUCGUCUUGAGUUUCUGGAAUAACUUCGUUAGGAUAUGGUGGACGGAGUUGUGACCUCGACGCAAGAGGGACGGAGGUGGAGAGCGCAACAACUCCGGUUGAUGAUUCACGCUCCCAAGGGCUUACAGACUGCGCACUACCAGGGGACUUUUCAUGCAAGGCAUGGUGGAGAGAGAGAUAACUGCCAGAUGGCACCUCGAAUGUUGUUGACGACGAAUUUGGUGAAGGUCACAAUUUCAUAUAACCUUUCUCAAAGACUUCUCGUUCAUGCCAGUAGUAUUGGAGACUCUCCAAUAUCAUCGCCUUGAGAUGCCUCCACGAUGCCCUGACUUGGGAUAGCGCUCGCACAAACAUGUACUGAGAUUCUUAAUAUGUCUUCGAGAGCUCUAAUUUCAGCAACCGUGCAGACAUAACGAGAAACGAUUUACAAACAACCCUACGUUGCAUCCUCUGUCUACGACAAACCAGGCUAUACACGAAUGCCGGUCACUGACACAUUCACUUUAGAAGGUUGAGGUUCUCUCGAUCCGUUCCUCGUUUGCAGCUUAAAACAUUGAAUAGGAAGUAGGUACUAGAUACCGCCACAGUAGCAGAUGAGCUGUGACAUUGUUUCUCCUCUCACUCGAAAGCAAUUGCUCAGGGCUGAGACUGGAUUUGGAACAAACUGAGAAACCACAUCCUGCAACUGAAUAGGAUGAUCCUACAUAUGCCCCUGGCGUAGAGCUUUCGUCAGGAUCGAAACCACGCAAUCACCACUACAAUGUCUGGUGUCUCUCGAGGGAUAUCAAAUUCAUGGACAUCAGAAAAAGGAACACGCCGGAGCAACCCACAGGAAAGACUUUCAGUAUCAGCACAAUUCUCCUUGGAAUGAUAAUCUCAGAGAAGUAAAAUGAGGAUACCGUUAAGAAGUUCCUCUUCCCGAAACAAACUUGCGAAUGCAACGUUUCUCCGGAAGAAACUAGACCAACACCUCGCCAUAGCUUUCCCAUACGCUGCAACACCGACUGCAAGGCUUCAACGAUAAACUUUUGGAGUCGAAGACGGUCGAUUUGAAGGACGAACGGAAAAAUUUAUCGUGCAAUAGAUUUUCAGAGCAGCUGACAUAGUAACAACGUGUCUGUAAAUUGGGGAAAAUCCCAAUCGAACUAUUAAACCAAUUUAUAACCACUAAGUGCAAAUUUUGAAGUGCUUGGGGACAUUCGAUCA
This is a non-coding RNA of Physcomitrium patens, 1928 nucleotides long. Lineage: Eukaryota; Viridiplantae; Streptophyta; Bryopsida; Funariales; Funariaceae. The record is from RefSeq and is a predicted model, not a curated record.